This 253-nucleotide ribosomal RNA is filed under the name uncultured bacterium. RNAcentral's name for it is "partial 16S ribosomal RNA". It matches the Rfam family "Bacterial small subunit ribosomal RNA", at positions 524 to 776 of the family's 1533-position model. The record is from RNAcentral.
UACGAAGGGGGCUAGCGUUGUUCGGAAUUACUGGGCGUAAAGCGCCCGUAGGCGGAUUGUUAAGUCAGAGGUGAAAUCCCGGAGCUCAACUUCGGAACUGCCUUUGAUACUGGCAAUCUCGAGUCCGGAAGAGGUUAGUGGAAUUCCCAGUGUAGAGGUGAAAUUCGUAGAUAUUGGGAAGAACACCGGUGGCGAAGGCGCCGCUCUGGGCCGAUACUGACGCUGAGGAGCGAAAGCGUGGGGAGCAAACAGG